RNAcentral lists this ribosomal RNA (434 nucleotides) under uncultured bacterium. RNAcentral's name for it is "partial 16S ribosomal RNA". It matches the Rfam family "Bacterial small subunit ribosomal RNA", at positions 29 to 507 of the family's 1533-position model. The record is from RNAcentral.
AGCGAACGCUGGCGGCAGGCCUAACACAUGCAAGUCGAACGAACCUUUCGGGGUUAGUGGCGGACGGGUGAGUAACCCGUGGGAACGUGCCUUUAGGUUCGGAAUAACUCAGGGAAACUUGUGCUAAUACCGAAUGUGCCCUUCGGGGGAAAGAUUAAUCGCCUUUAGAGCGGCCCGCGUCUGAUUAGCUAGUUGGUUGAGGUAAUGGCUCACCAAGGCGACGAUCAGUAGCUGGUCUGAGAGGAUGAUCAGCCACAUUGGGACUGAGACACGGCCCAAACUCCUACGGGAGGCAGCAGUGGGGAAUCUUGCGCAAUGGGCGAAAGCCUGACGCAGCCAUGCCGCGUGAAUUAUGAAGGUCUUAGGAUUGUAAAAUUCUUUCACCGGUGACGAUAAUGACGGUACCCGGAGAAGAAGCCCCGGCUAACUUCGUG